GGUGAACGCUGGCGGCGUGCCUAAUACAUGCAAGUCGAGCGAACAGACGAGGAGCUUGCUCCUCUGACGUUAGCGGCGGACGGGUGAGUAACACGUGGAUAACCUACCUAUAAGACUGGGAUAACUUCGGGAAACCGGAGCUAAUACCGGAUAAUAUAUUGAACCGCAUGGUUCAAUAGUGAAAGACGGUUUUGCUGUCACUUAUAGAUGGAUCCGCGCCGCAUUAGCUAGUUGGUAAGGUAACGGCUUACCAAGGCGACGAUGCGUAGCCGACCUGAGAGGGUGAUCGGCCCCACUGGAACUGAGACACGGUCCAGACUCCUACGGGAGGCAGCAGUAGGGAAUCUUCCGCAAUGGGCGAAAGCCUGACGGAGCAACGCCGCGUGAGUGAUGAAGGUCUUCGGAUCGUAAAACUCUGUUAUUAGGGAAGAACAAAUGUGUAAGUAACUAUGCACGUCUUGACGGUACCUAAUCAGAAAGCCACGGCUAACUACGUG
Molecule: ribosomal RNA, 497 nt
Filed under: uncultured bacterium
Lineage: Bacteria
Description: partial 16S ribosomal RNA
Rfam family: Bacterial small subunit ribosomal RNA
Source: RNAcentral